RNAcentral lists this long non-coding RNA (1122 nucleotides) under Oryctolagus cuniculus (rabbit). RNAcentral describes it as "lncRNA (ENSOCUG00000038433.1)". Lineage: Eukaryota; Metazoa; Chordata; Mammalia; Lagomorpha; Leporidae. The record is from RNAcentral.
AUGAGGGCUGAGACUGACAUCAGUAUCCUCCUCUAUUUUGUUAAGAAUAUAUUUGUGAGGCCGGCGCCGCAGCUCAAUAGGCUAAUCCUCCGCCUUGCGGCGCUGGCACACCGGGUUCUAGUCCCGGUCAGGGCACCGGAUUCUGUCCCAGUUGCCCCUCUUCCAGGCCAGCUCUCUGCUGUGGCCAGGGAGUGCAGUGGAGGAUGGCCCAAGUGCUUGGGCCCUGCACCCCAUGGGAGACCAGGAGAAGCACCUGGCUCCUGCCAUUGGAUCAGCACGGUGCACCGGCUGUGGCGGCCAUUGGAAGGUGAACCAAUGGCAAAAGGAAGACCUUUCUCUCUGUCUCUCUCUCUCACUGUCCACUCUGCCUGUAAAAAAAAAAAAAAGAGAGAGAGAGAGAAUAUAUUUGUGGGGACUGGCAUUAUGGUGCAGAGGGUUAACCUGCCACCUGCCAUGCCAGCAUCCCAUAUUGGAACACCAGUUUCAGUCCCAGUUACUCCACUUCUGAUCCAGUUUCUUGCUAAUAAUGCACCUGAGAAAGUAGCAGAAGAUGGCCCAAGCACUUGGGCUCCUGCCACCCAUGUGGGAGACCCAGAUGGAGCUCCUGACUCUUGGCUUCAGCCUGGCCCAGCCCUGGCCAUUGCAGCCUUUUGGGAAGUGAAGCACCAGAUGGAAGAUCUCUCUCUUUCUCUCUCUGCCUUUCAAAUAAAACAGAUCUUUAAAUUUAUAUGUAAAUAUUUGUGUAUAUAUCUACCUAUAUUAAGCAAAUAUCUAGAUGUUCUUUCCUGUUAUUCCUUUUUUAAAAAAAGAUUUAUUUAUUUGAAAGGCAGAGAGUUUCAGAGAGGCAGAGGCAGUGAGAGAAGUCUUCCAUCCCCAAAUGGCCACAACAGCUGGAGCUGGGCUGAUUUGAAGCCAGGAUCCAGGAGCUUCUUCUGGGCCUCCCAAGGACCUGGGCCAUCUCCUACUGCUUUUCCAGACCAUAGCAGAGAUGAGAAAUGGAGCACCCAGGACCCGAACCAGCAUCCAUAUGGGAUGCUGGCAUUGAAGGUGGUGGCUUUGCCUGCUAUACCACAGCACUGGCCCCUCCUGUUAGUCCUUGUCAUAUCACAUGAGGUGAAUUGA